This 267-nucleotide unclassified non-coding RNA is filed under the name plant metagenome. RNAcentral's name for it is "partial contains small subunit ribosomal RNA, internal transcribed spacer 1, and 5.8S ribosomal RNA". The record is from RNAcentral.
UCUCCGUUGGUGAACCAGCGGAGGGAUCAUUGCUGGAACUGUGUCCGCAAGGACACAACCCCAGAUACCCUUUGUGAACUUAUUCUUAUAUCGUUGCCUCGGCGCUGAGCUGGGGGCUUCUUUCCAAGGAGCUCUCCCAUGGUCUCUCGGGACGAUGGAGCAAGCCCGCCGGCGGCCCUUCUAAACUCUUGUUUUUAUUACGUAUCUCUUCUGAGUUAUUCAAAACAAAAUGAAUCAAAACUUUCAACAACGGAUCUCUUGGUUCUG